Molecule: long non-coding RNA, 642 nt
Organism: Gopherus flavomarginatus (Mexican gopher tortoise)
Lineage: Eukaryota; Metazoa; Chordata; Testudines; Testudinidae
Exons: 2
Source: RefSeq, a predicted model, not a curated record
GCGUGACAUCACAAUGUAUGUGCAGAUGCGCAAGCCUGAGAGGGGCGGGGCUUGAGACUGAAUGGUGGUGAGGUGGUCGGGGUCCAGGAGAUGCAGCAGGGAUGUGCCGCAGGCCAUGCAGGACUGAGAGCCCGUCACAUAGAUGAACCAACAGGCAGCAGAUGACUGCUUUACACCUGUAAGUCUUCCUGUAUAUGUGUGUGCUGGCAAGUGGGCAAUGAAGUCUUGCAGUGACAUGUGAUCAUGUCACCUGAACAGGAAUCCAUCUUUAACCUGGUGUCUUUCCAUUGAGAAGGAGGGGGUGGCAACCCAGAGAGGGACAAAGGAUUCCCACCUUAUGCAAAAGAGAUAUAAGUGGGUGGAACAGAACAAAGGGAGAGGAGGAGCCAUUAUGAAGAAUCCCCUAGAUACCACCUGAGCUGGAACAAGAGCUGUACCAGGGGAAAGAAUUCUGCCCAGGUCUGGAAGGUGGCCAAUCUGAGGAAAAAAACCUACUGAAACAUCUGUAUUCAGUUUGAUUAGACAUAGAUUUGCACAUUUUAUUUUAUUUUGCUUGGUGACUUACUUUGUUCUGUCUGUUACUACUUGGAACCACUUAAAUCCUACUUUCUGUAUUUAAUAAAAUCAUUUUUUACUUAUUAA